UGGGGAAUAUUGCACAAUGGGGGAAACCCUGAUGCAGCGACGCCGCGUGAACGAAGAAGGUAUUCGUAUCGUAAAGUUCUGUCCUAUGGGAAGAUAAUGACAGUACCAUAGAAGAAAGCUCCGGCGAAAUACGUGCCAGCAGCCGCGGUAAUACGUAUGGAGCGAGCGUUGUCCGGAAUUAUUGGGCGUAAAGGGUACGCAGGCGGUUUAAUAAGUCGAAUGUUAAAGAUCGGGGCUCAACCCCGCAAAGCAUUGGAAACUGAUAAACUUGAGUAGUGGAGAGGAAAGUGGAAUUCCUAGUGUAGUGGUGAAAUACGUAGAUAUUAGGAGGAAUACCAGUAGCGAAGGCGACUUUCUGGACACAAACUGACGCUGAGGUACGAAAGCGUGGGGAGCAAACAGG
RNAcentral lists this ribosomal RNA (403 nucleotides) under bacterium. RNAcentral describes it as "partial 16S ribosomal RNA". It matches the Rfam family "Bacterial small subunit ribosomal RNA", at positions 355 to 776 of the family's 1533-position model. The record is from RNAcentral.